UUGCCGCACGUGCAAGUGCACAGCUGAGGUCAAACAAGGCAAUAUUCUACCUCUUUGUUUCAGCUCUUACCGUAAACAAGUGUCCUUUUCAUGAUCUAUUUAGUACCACGUUAUUUGAAUUUUUGUGCUUUUUGUUGGUGAUUUUGCUGUUUAAAAUGGUCCCCAAGUGUAAUACAGAAACUCUAUCUAGUGUUCCUGAGCACAAGAGGGCUGCUAUGUGCCUUAUGGAGAAAAUGGAUAAGCUUCAUCCAUGCUGUUGGCCAUGAGUCCAAAGUUAAUGAAUCAAUGAUACAUAUUAAAUACGUUAUCUUUAAAAAGAAACACAUAUAAGACAAGGUUAUGUUUUGAUCAGCUGACAAAAAUACUGUUAUCACAGGCUUAUAGGAAUCUGACUCUUUAUUUCCUGUGGGAGUAAUCAUUCAAUGUUCAAUUAACUUGGCGUUCAUGGAAACUUUACAGAUUUACAGUGAAGAAGAAGAAUCAAGUGUACAUCCCAAUCUGAAUUACUGCAUUCAAAGAAAAAUUACCACUGCUAGCCACUCUACAAGAAUAGCACAGCCCUGGUAGAACUUUUAAAGUAACAGGAGAAAGGAAGAGAAGAAAGGAUAAAAAGGAAAAAGAAGAAAAAGGAAAAAGAAGAAAAAAUGAAAAAGGAAAGAAGAAACAGAAGAAAAGAGGAAAGUCAGAAAGAAUACAAGGGUUUGUUUUGUUGAAAGUGACAUACUGUAAUCUCAAAAUAAAUUAACCACAAAAAUGAAAUUGUUGACACAGAGAACUAGGAAUGUAAGAACUGAAUCUGGCUUUAGGAUAGUUGGAUCCAGGGUCUUACAUGAUAUCAUUAGGACACUAUGUCUCUAUUUCACAGCCCUUCACAGCCCUGUUUUUCCUCAGGAUCUGCUUCAUUCUCAAUCAGAACGUUUGCAAAAAAAGAGGGAAGGUGAUCACCAAUUUAGCAAGCUCAUUUAGACAGCAUCAGCAAGUUUCUUACAUUUACUGUAGAUUGGCUCACCUUGGAUCUUGUGCCCAACCCUAACCAAUCACUGUAACCAAGGACAAGUUGUAUAUACAGUAAGCAGACCCAGGACACAUUGCCAUUCCCAAAGCUAAGGAGCAUGUGAGCCCUACCUGACACAAAUGGACUAAGAGUGGAAAAGAGGAGACUCUCCAAAGAGAUUUUGAUCACACACACACACACACACACACACACAUAAGAAAAUAAAUUUGAACGAGCUAGUGAGCAGGAUAAUCUAAUAAUAUAGAGUUGCCAAUUCUGCUAAUCAUCCAUUGGUGAGAUUUUGUCAAGUUAAUUCAAUUUUAUUUUUGCUUUAGUUUCUUUCUAAAAAAAAAAAAAUGGGCAUAGAAUUUAUGCCACCAGCUGCUCCCAAAAAACAAGAUCCUCAAAUGAACCUUAACAAAGUACUGCCAACAUCACAAAUGGCAAAUGUUUGAAGUGUGGGCCCUACACUGAAGUUCUUCACAAUGUUAAUCUAUACAUGUAUGAAGAUUUUCAUUUUAAAGCCUUUCAUGUUAAAUAUUGUUUGAUCUGAAUAACAAAACCAGAAAAUACAAAGUUUUUCAUUUUAUAUAUGAUGCAUUUGUUUUUCAGGCCACAGUAAAAGAUAAUCCCCUGAAAACUCCUUCUCAUUUGUCACAUGGGAUUGGUCAUUUCCUCCCCUCCUAUUCUUAUUCUUUCUAGUAAAGUCACAUGUAAAGAAAGCCCAGGGACGUCCCUCAGUACAGCCUCUAUCAGGGCCUCUUUUUAAGAGGCUGACACCCGUGUAGAGGGCAUUGAAUUUCCUCUUUACUUUUCUUUCCCAACAAAAAAUAAAUUCCUUUUGGCCCCAGGCCCACCACUACCUAAGCCUUCUAAUUUGGGCAGAAUUAGGCCAAUCAGGAACCCUGCUAGGAGAAGAUCAGGUCUAUAAUGUUACUGUUACAAGAGCAGCCACAUCUUCCUCCAAAAUUAUCUCUGCUUCUUCCA
RNAcentral lists this long non-coding RNA (1981 nucleotides) under Homo sapiens (human). RNAcentral's name for it is "HSALNT0092829". Lineage: Eukaryota; Metazoa; Chordata; Mammalia; Primates; Hominidae. The record is from RNAcentral.